CUCAAGUCGUGCGGCCCUUCGGGGCAGCGGCGAACGGGUGAGUAAUAGUAAGGAACGUACCCUAAAGUAGAGGAUAGCUCCGCGAAAGCGGGGGUAAUACUCUAUGUGUCCUCCGGGACAAAGCUUCCGCGCUUUAGGAACGGCCUUACUCCUAUCAGCUUGUUGGUAAGGUAAUGGCUUACCAAGGCGAUGACGGGUAGGGGCACUGAGAGGUGAAGCCCCCACAAUGGAACUGAGACACGGUCCAUACUCCUACGGGGGGCAGCAGUUGGGAAUAUUGCACAAUGGGCGAAAGCCUGAUGCAGCGACACCGCGUGUAGGAAGAAGCCCUUCGGGGUGUAAACUACUUUUAUAUCGGAGGAUUG
Molecule: ribosomal RNA, 365 nt
Filed under: uncultured bacterium
Lineage: Bacteria
Description: bacterial SSU rRNA
Rfam family: Bacterial small subunit ribosomal RNA
Source: RNAcentral